AUAUCGACUGCAAAAAGCCAAAGACUUGGCUCUAUAGGAUACAAACGAAGUUUGGCUCUGCCGCGAGUGGCGAAUAGUCAAAGAGUUAUUUCAAUAAUUCAAUCACGUGUUAUCGAAUAAUUGAAUAAGUCAUCGUGUCGAGCGACACAAAUUUAAUUUCAAUACGCAGAACGUUUAAUGUUGAACGUUUAACGAACGGGCGACAGCGUCAAAGACACUGCCGAUUGAGGCAGGAGGCAUUAACCGAGCGGACCCCGGUUACAGGGGAACAGCGGCAGAGACGUAGACGGAACCGCUGUGCCACGGGCAGACCAGGCCAGGUGAGGCCGGCCAGCCAGGGCAGGCAUUCAGGCAGGCAACGUGAGUGAUUGUCGCAAAAGCUCAAAGGCAACGACUACAACUCUUCGAAUUGUACUGAUUUUUAUUUAUUUUAUGUUUGAACCGAAACGUUUAUGGAAUUCCAAAUGAAAUGCGACUGCGCCCCGUACUAAUGGGGGCCCCGCACUACCAGAGCACCAGAUAUAGCCCAGUUAUUCGUUUAGCCGAGUCAAUUGGCAAUUGGUGUGGGAAAAAGUUUUCGUCUUUUCGGCAUACGAACUACACAAUUUUUAACAGGCGUGGCAAAUUUCCAUUUCCAUUUGCAUGUCCAACUCAUGGCGAACUCGAUCGAAUUUUAAAUGUUGCCCGUUUUAUGGGCUACCUUGAACUUCAAAUUGUCGACCAUGGGGAUGGGUCGCCCAUGAAAUUGGGCCUUGCAUUUGACCCAGAAAAUAUAAUAAUAUAUAUAUUACAUCGGUCGAUACCCUGCAAGAAGUGCUGAAGUGCUGCCCAUCUGGAAACUUUAUGAGUUCUGGUUAGAAAAUACAUGACUCCAAUCGAAACGACAGAAAUUGACAAUCAAAUUGUAAACAAAAUUUUUAUUAAAUUUUUUAAAGGAAGCCUUGUAUUGUUUGUCAAAUUUAACUUAAAUGCUGCUGUCUGAACACAUUUAUAGUCCGUUUAUUUUCUUAGUUAUUCGAAGAGAAUAAGCCUCUCUCAAAAGUUUACAUUUUAUUUUUAUACAGAGAGGAGAUCUAUGAGACACAAAUAGCCUUUAUAAGAUCUUUAUACUACACAUAAAAAUGCAAGUAUAUGCGACACAAGAGGUUUUCCAACUGGAGACAACAAAUUGGAAUAGUCUUUCGAAAUGGAAAAACAAGCCGUUCUUUCGGAAAUGCCAGCCAAACAGCAGCGGGAACAUCCUCACGUAAACUGGGUCGAUAACUGACCUACAGGACGUCGCGGAAUGCAACCAGUCAGUCGAUCGAGCAAUCGACCAAUCCGGCAAUCGGGCAAUCAGCCAAUCAACCCGUUCCCGUCGGUCGUUCGUUUGGCGGAUUCGAUAGAUUUUUGACAUACUCGUAUUUUGUCGAUCAGCUCAUUGAACUUGCGAGCGAGUCGCUUCGAGUGGAGUCGAAUGAAUUUUCUCAUUCACACGCUGCUGCCCGUGGGAGAAAAAUGUGAAUUUUGUUCUUGUUGUUGUUGUUGAUAUUGUUUUUGUUUGAAUUGUUUUUUUUUGCCCUUUUGGGGGCCAAAAUUUGCACUGAUUGGCCUCUGAUGUUGGCCAGAACUUAAACAAAUCAAUACGAAAACGAUGCAAAUGGCAAAAGGCAUGUCAACAAUGCUGGCGAGUAAUUGGCAGAGUGCUCCGGAGACAAUCAACCGGGAGGCGCAGCAGGAGCUGGGGAAUUGUCUGAUGACGCUCACUGUGAUGUUGAUGAUUGCAUUUUGAAUGUGCCCAGGAGAGUGUGUGCGUAUGUGUGAUAGCAAUCGCCGUCUCAGUUGCCGCCAAAGUGCAGCUAAACAUCUGGAGCAGAAGCAAUGGCAAAUCGCCGCCCAACUGUCCAACUGUCCAACUGUCCCACUGUCCCAAGCAGGUGAUCAGUGAUCUUUGCCGACGCGCCCAACGCUCAAUUGUGCUCCGAGAGAGGAGGGUUGCAGAGAGAGCGGGAGGUGGGGGAUGGUGAGCAACAGCAGAAGUUGGCUUUGAUCUGUCACCGCUGACCGCUUACCGCUUACCAAUCGAAUCACGGCUGGCGCGCGAGCACCACCAGAUAAAAUUAUUGAAAUUACAUUGGCAAGACGCCGCAACGUCGAUCAGCAACAACAGCAACAGCAACAGCUGCGGCGAUCUGGCACAGCAGAGUUCCACAGAGCUUCAGAGUUCCACAGUUCCACAGCCCUGCAGCUCCAGCUCUUUGUGCUUACGCGACACGAUCGCCAACACUUUGGGCUGAGAGAAAGAUCCGAAUCCGUCUGAGCCUGAGCCAGAGCCUGAGCCUGAGCCGGCAAUAAUUAUCGCUUUUAGUUUCAACUUGGCCUGUCAAUGUAAUUCCAAAAAUGUCGUCAGUGUCGCGUUGUACUUGUGUAGUAGCUCAUCAGGGCCCAGUCCAGGCACCCAGGCACCCAGGCUGGAGUCCAGCUUUGAUCGGUACUGUGAUUCGAUUUUAUGCUGCUUGUUCGCCUUCGCCUCGGCCUUUGCUGUUCUCCUCACUCGCUUUUUAAAAUGUAAUCAUCAUUAAAAUAUUUAUGGCCUGUCUCUCGCUCUAACUAACACCAUGAGCCGCAGCAGAACCAACAGCCCAGGCUUGGGUCAACGCAAUCCCGCCAGUUAGUUGGGACAAAACUGUGGACGGCUUGUAAUGACCAUACAUAGCAAUUGGUUCUCACGUUCGGAAAGAAGCGCUGCCAAUUUGGCGUCAUCGUUGUCACAGUCGACCGACUUGCACUUGGAGCUGAAGUUGGGAGUCGGAAUCGGGAAUCACAGUCACCAUUCGAGUUAGCUUUGUCACCUGUGCGCUACGAAUUAACAGAAGCUAACCAGACGGGUAGCUCGAGCACAGAUCAUUGACCACAGAUCAAGCAAUCAAAUUGAGAGCGGCAGACGAGUCACAGUAAAUGAAUCUAAAUAGCAACCUAAGAUUGAUGCCUUAAUAGUAUGUCCAGCAAAGCACAUGAAAGUUUUAAGAUACAAUUGCUUAGAAUGAAUGCCAUUGAAAGGUUUGAAAUUGUCAUCGUAGUUGUAACACAAUAUAGUUAUACGCUAGUUCAAGCCGGGAACAAACA
Drosophila virilis is the source of this 3105-nucleotide long non-coding RNA. RefSeq lists it as uncharacterized. The record is from RefSeq and is a predicted model, not a curated record. Lineage: Eukaryota; Metazoa; Arthropoda; Insecta; Diptera; Drosophilidae.